CAGAGUUUGACCUGGCUCAGGACGAACGCUGGCGGCGUGCCUAACACAUGCAAGUCGAGCGGAGACAGUGAGUAGCUUGCUAUGAGUUGUUUUAGCGGCGGACGGGUGAGUAACGCGUGAGCAACCUUUCCCAGACAGGGGAAUAACACACCGAAAGGUGUACUAAUACCGCAUAAGACCACGGGAUCACAUGGUUCUGGUGUAAAAGAUUUAUCGGUUUGGGGUGGGCUCGCGUCCGAUUAGGUAGUUGGUGAGGUAACGGCCC
Molecule: ribosomal RNA, 265 nt
Filed under: uncultured bacterium
Lineage: Bacteria
Description: partial 16S ribosomal RNA
Rfam family: Bacterial small subunit ribosomal RNA
Source: RNAcentral